UACAAGGCAGGCCGUGUUGGUGCCCCGCUUCGGCGGGGUGAAACGGGAAUGCGGUGAGCGUGGCACCCCUAGGGUGCCAUCGCGAAGCCGCAGCUGCCCCCGCAACUGUAAGCGGCAGGCAAAGGGCAUCGAGCCACUGGUCCGGAUGGACUGGGAAGGCGCCCGGCGCACGCAACCGCGAGCCAGGAGACCGGCCAGCACGACAUUGCCAAUC
This 214-nucleotide non-coding RNA is filed under the name Hyphomicrobiales bacterium. The record is from RNAcentral. Lineage: Bacteria; Pseudomonadati; Pseudomonadota; Alphaproteobacteria; Hyphomicrobiales.